Molecule: ribosomal RNA, 453 nt
Filed under: Fusarium sp. TM1H51
Lineage: Eukaryota; Fungi; Ascomycota; Sordariomycetes; Hypocreales; Nectriaceae
Description: eukaryotic LSU rRNA
Rfam family: 5.8S ribosomal RNA (bases 66-219)
Source: RNAcentral
CGCCAGAGGACCCCCUAACUCUGUUUCUAUAAUGUUUCUUCUGAGUAAACAAGCAAAUAAAUUAAAACUUUCAACAACGGAUCUCUUGGCUCUGGCAUCGAUGAAGAACGCAGCGAAAUGCGAUAAGUAAUGUGAAUUGCAGAAUUCAGUGAAUCAUCGAAUCUUUGAACGCACAUUGCGCCCGCCAGUAUUCUGGCGGGCAUGCCUGUUCGAGCGUCAUUACAACCCUCAGGCCCCCGGGCCUGGCGUUGGGGAUCGGCGGAAGCCCCCUGCGGGCACAACGCCGUCCCCCAAAUACAGUGGCGGUCCCGCCGCAGCUUCCAUUGCGUAGUAGCUAACACCUCGCAACUGGAGAGCGGCGCGGCCACGCCGUAAAACACCCAACUUCUGAAUGUUGACCUCGAAUCAGGUAGGAAUACCCGCUGAACUUAAGCAUAUCAAUAAGCGGAGGAA